RNAcentral lists this ribosomal RNA (329 nucleotides) under uncultured eukaryote. RNAcentral describes it as "partial 18S ribosomal RNA". It matches the Rfam family "Eukaryotic small subunit ribosomal RNA", at positions 1470 to 1796 of the family's 1831-position model. The record is from RNAcentral.
CCCUUAGAUGUUCUGGGCCGCACGCGCGCUACACUGAUGCAUUCAACGAGUCUAAAACCUGCUCUGAUAGGGGUGGGUAAUCUUUUGAAUGUGCAUCGUGAUUGGGAUAGAUGAUUGCAAUUUUUCAUCUUCAACGAGGAAUGCCCAGUAAACGCAAGUCAUCAGCUUGCAUUGAUUACGUCCCUGCCCUUUGUACACACCGCCCGUCGCUCCUACCGAUUGAAUGAUCCGAUGAAUAUCAUGGAUUGAGGAUGCAAGUAGGUUAGCCUAUCUUCAUCUUCGAGAAGUGAAGUAAAUCUUAUCAUUUAGAGGAAGGAGAAGUCGUAACA